UCUCUAACUGCCUAUAUUAAAACCAUACUUAUGGUUUGUUAUGCUGUCAGAUUCAGCUAGGGAAUAAAAGGGAAUUCUUGGAAAUUUUUCCUGCAAGGGACAUGUUUUCAGGGACAGGGAGCCUGAAUGGGGCCACAGAAACCACCUGAGCACUUGUGCACUUUGUGUAUCUCUUGUUCCCUCCGUGGGCUCUGCUUCCCUUCCUCCUCAGGAGGAGUGCUCCUCUCAGUUUAGGAAAGAUUGCUUUAGGGUAGAAACUGAAAGGUAGGUGAGGAGCUGGAGGCUGAUACAGGGAGUGUUUAAGUUUGUUAGGGUAGGAAAAAAUGGAGCAGCUUGCACUAACAGCAAGAGAAAGUUUUGUUUUGUUUGCUUUGUUUUCUGUUGUACAAAUACUCUGCAACAAUUGCUGUUUCAUUCAAUCCCCAACCUCUCCCUCUCCAGUAUUGCUCCAUCCUUCCUCAGCCAUCCCCUUAUGCCUCCCACUCACACUUUCAUUAAAGAUUAAUUAUUUCCUUUACACUCAUCCUUGCCAGCCCUGGCCUUCCCCCUGUGCUCAGAGCUUUCCGAAGCUCCUUCACCUCUGUGCAACCCAGCUUCUGCUCAUUUAAAAAUCCCCUGUUUGAGAGCACACAGACCUCUAUCCAACCUGCCUGGACCAUUUCUUUCUUCCCUUUCCCAGGGUAAUCUGCCAGCCCAGCUUCAGAGCUGUGCCUUCCCUUGACAGUGACACUGAGUGUGUACUGCCCCAUUGCCCAGCAAGCCUUCCAUCCCGACCAUCCACUGCACCCAAGCUUGGAAACCCUUUUAUUUCUUGUGCUGGCCCUGGAAAAUUGAAGGAAGCAGCAGGAAACCCUAUGCCCAGGUUUUAUCAGGUCAGUCUGAUCCACCCAGAAGCUGAUGCACCCUGAGCAGGGGCGGCCCACAGGAAUGCUCCUACCUGGAGGAUGCAGCCGAGCUGCCUCAGAGCUGGUGGCCUUGCAGGUGGCCCCCAGCACUGAGCCACAGCAGCUAUGAAGACAGCCCAGGCCACCCCAAUGGCCAGAGUCUGGAUUGCUACAGAUCAGGCUUGGUUGCGGGGGCUCAGUCUGAUGCCUGCAAUGAACAAGCUGCAACUACAUAAAAUACAGCUUGUGAGUAGUGGCAGGCUGGAGGCAAAAGAGGGGAAGACACAAAUCAUCCAGGCAUGGAGAGGAAGAGAUAAUGAGAAAAGUAGCUGAAACCUAAAGAACCUCCUGAGAAAGGAGGAGCCCCUCGGCUGUAAAGACAAAACAAAUGUGUUUGCCUUUGAAACGACUGUGACUGUGACGCUGCUGGCUGGAAGAGCUGUCUGCAUUUAAAACGGUGUGACUGCGUGAAGUGGGAACGAUGUGUAUACAGCACACGGUAGUGAAGCAGGAAAGUUGAGGAUUUCAAGUGACCUCUCAGAAGCUGUGCAGACCAUGUGGAGAGCAGCUCUUCUCUUCCCCGGCUUCCUGCUAGCAUUGCCUUCAAGGACAAUGCCACUCUAGACAGAUACUUUGGCUCCACAGGACAUUGUUAGGAACUGAAGAUCUUGCCCAAGAAAUCAGUAAACAUUGAAGCCAAACAAGCAUAACACACUCUUUGACGAAGCACAUUAUUCAUGCCACUUCAGUGAGGGGCCUUCACCUUCACUGAUGGCAACUGCUCACCGACAAUCAUCGCAGAUGGA
Cygnus olor (mute swan) is the source of this 1690-nucleotide long non-coding RNA. RefSeq lists it as uncharacterized. NCBI's taxonomy places the organism in Eukaryota, Metazoa, Chordata, Aves, Anseriformes, Anatidae. The transcript is spliced from 4 exons. The record is from RefSeq and is a predicted model, not a curated record.